RNAcentral lists this ribosomal RNA (1517 nucleotides) under Bacteroides fragilis. RNAcentral describes it as "bacterial SSU rRNA". It matches the Rfam family "Bacterial small subunit ribosomal RNA". Lineage: Bacteria; Pseudomonadati; Bacteroidota; Bacteroidia; Bacteroidales; Bacteroidaceae. The record is from RNAcentral.
AGAGUUUGAUCCUGGCUCAGGAUGAACGCUAGCUACAGGCUUAACACAUGCAAGUCGAGGGGCAUCAGGAAGAAAGCUUGCUUUCUUUGCUGGCGACCGGCGCACGGGUGAGUAACACGUAUCCAACCUGCCCUUUACUCGGGGAUAGCCUUUCGAAAGAAAGAUUAAUACCCGAUAGCAUAAUGAUUCCGCAUGGUUUCAUUAUUAAAGGAUUCCGGUAAAGGAUGGGGAUGCGUUCCAUUAGGUUGUUGGUGAGGUAACGGCUCACCAAGCCUUCGAUGGAUAGGGGUUCUGAGAGGAAGGUCCCCCACAUUGGAACUGAGACACGGUCCAAACUCCUACGGGAGGCAGCAGUGAGGAAUAUUGGUCAAUGGGCGCUAGCCUGAACCAGCCAAGUAGCGUGAAGGAUGAAGGCUCUAUGGGUCGUAAACUUCUUUUAUAUAAGAAUAAAGUGCAGUAUGUAUACUGUUUUGUAUGUAUUAUAUGAAUAAGGAUCGGCUAACUCCGUGCCAGCAGCCGCGGUAAUACGGAGGAUCCGAGCGUUAUCCGGAUUUAUUGGGUUUAAAGGGAGCGUAGGUGGACUGGUAAGUCAGUUGUGAAAGUUUGCGGCUCAACCGUAAAAUUGCAGUUGAUACUGUCAGUCUUGAGUACAGUAGAGGUGGGCGGAAUUCGUGGUGUAGCGGUGAAAUGCUUAGAUAUCACGAAGAACUCCGAUUGCGAAGGCAGCUCACUGGACUGCAACUGACACUGAUGCUCGAAAGUGUGGGUAUCAAACAGGAUUAGAUACCCUGGUAGUCCACACAGUAAACGAUGAAUACUCGCUGUUUGCGAUAUACAGUAAGCGGCCAAGCGAAAGCAUUAAGUAUUCCACCUGGGGAGUACGCCGGCAACGGUGAAACUCAAAGGAAUUGACGGGGGCCCGCACAAGCGGAGGAACAUGUGGUUUAAUUCGAUGAUACGCGAGGAACCUUACCCGGGCUUAAAUUGCAGUGGAAUGAUGUGGAAACAUGUCAGUGAGCAAUCACCGCUGUGAAGGUGCUGCAUGGUUGUCGUCAGCUCGUGCCGUGAGGUGUCGGCUUAAGUGCCAUAACGAGCGCAACCCUUAUCUUUAGUUACUAACAGGUUAUGCUGAGGACUCUAGAGAGACUGCCGUCGUAAGAUGUGAGGAAGGUGGGGAUGACGUCAAAUCAGCACGGCCCUUACGUCCGGGGCUACACACGUGUUACAAUGGGGGGUACAGAAGGCAGCUAGCGGGUGACCGUAUGCUAAUCCCAAAAUCCUCUCUCAGUUCGGAUCGAAGUCUGCAACCCGACUUCGUGAAGCUGGAUUCGCUAGUAAUCGCGCAUCAGCCACGGCGCGGUGAAUACGUUCCCGGGCCUUGUACACACCGCCCGUCAAGCCAUGGGAGCCGGGGGUACCUGAAGUACGUAACCGCAAGGAUCGUCCUAGGGUAAAACUGGUGACUGGGGCUAAGUCGUAACAAGGUAGCCGUACCGGAAGGUGCGGCUGGAACACCU